Clupea harengus (Atlantic herring) is the source of this 1186-nucleotide long non-coding RNA. The record is from Ensembl. Lineage: Eukaryota; Metazoa; Chordata; Actinopteri; Clupeiformes; Clupeidae.
CAGCAUACCAGGGCGAUAACACACACCGUAUCAAUCACACACUCACUCUCUCUCUCUCUCUCACACACACACACACACACACACACACACACACACACCUCACUUUCCACAGAGCUUAGAAGGUUAGCACCGUUAAUAAGAACUCUAACGGGAGGCGGGGGAAGUCAGGCUAACCCAAAUGUGUUCAAACAGGUCUGUGACACACACACACACACACACACACACACACACACACACACACACACACACACACACCCUUCUAAUGAAGAUCCUUGCUGGAGGAUAUGAAUAUAUGUUAGUGUUGGUGCUGCUGGUUUGGCUGGCCUAGCGAAGAGUGGGUUCUGAUUGGCUGGCCUAGUGAAGAGUGGGUUCUGAUUGGCUGGGCUAGUGAAGAGUGGGUUCUGAUUGGCAGGGCUAGUGAAGAGUGGGUUCUGAUUGGCAGGGCUAGUGAAGAGUGGGUUCUGAUUGGCAGGCCUAGUGAAGAGGGGGUUCUGAUUGGCAGGCCUAGCGAAGAGUGGGUUCUGAUUGGCUGGCCUAGUGAAGAGUGGGUUCUGAUUGGCUGGCCUAGUGAAGAGUGGGUUCUGAUUGGCAGGGCUAGUAAAGAAUGGUUAAAGCUGUAGGUGAGUGUGAGGUGUGUCCAGAGUUGUGAGGUUUGUGUAGAGUUGUGAUGUUUGUGUAGAGUUGUGAUGUUUGUGUGUGUUUUACCCUUAAAGCUGUAGGUGAGUGUGAUGUUUGUGUAAAGUUGUGAUGUUUGAGUGUGUUUUACUCUUAAAGCUGUUGGCGUGUGUGAGGUUUGUGUAGAGUUAGGAUGUUUGUGUGUUUUAUCCUUAAAGCUGUAGGCGUGUGUGAUGUUUGUGUAAAGUUGUGAUGUUUGUGUGUUUUAUCCUUAAAGCUGUAGGCGAGUGUGAGGUUUGUGUAGAGUUGUGAUGUUUGUGUGUUUUAUCCUUAAAGCUGAAGGUGAGUGUGAGGUUUGUGUAGAGUUGGGAUGUUUGUGUGUUUUAUCCUUAAAGCCUUAGGCGUGUGUGAUGUUUGUGUAAAGUUGUGAUGUUUGUGUGUUUUAUCCUUAAAGCUGAAGGUGAGUGUGAGGUUUGUGUAAAGUUGUGAUGUUUGUGUGUUUUAUCCUUAAAGCUGAAGGUGAGUGUGAGGUUUGUGUAAAGUUGUGAUGUUUGUGUGACUCCACCAUUAA